AACUUUCAGCAACGGAUCUCUUGGCUCUCGCAUCGAUGAAGAACGCAGCGAAUUGCGAUAUGUAAUGUGAAUUGCAGAUUUUCAGUGAAUCAUCG
This 95-nucleotide ribosomal RNA is filed under the name Serpula lacrymans var. lacrymans S7.3. RNAcentral's name for it is "5.8S ribosomal RNA". It matches the Rfam family "5.8S ribosomal RNA", at positions 1 to 94 of the family's 154-position model. Rfam says of the family: 5.8S ribosomal RNA (5.8S rRNA) is a component of the large subunit of the eukaryotic ribosome. It is transcribed by RNA polymerase I as part of the 45S precursor that also contains 18S and 28S rRNA. Lineage: Eukaryota; Fungi; Basidiomycota; Agaricomycetes; Boletales; Serpulaceae. The record is from Rfam by way of RNAcentral.